GGUUCGAACCGGUUUCCUUCUUAUAUUUCAGCGUAUAAACUACAAAAAACAUUCGUUUGCAUUAUACAUUCGCCAUUUUACGCAGCGACGGGUCGGUUGUUGCGUGUUAUCUCUCCGCGGGAAAAAAAAAACGUCUUUUACGAUUUUAAUUUUUUUUCGUGAGCUGUCUGUUCACUUCCUAUCCACACCAUGGGCAAAACGAAGUCAGCUGUCCCCGCUGAGGGCAGACGGAGUUCGCCGCGGCUUGCUGCAGUGAGAUCUCCUAAAGCUGCAGUGGAGGCUAAGAAAAAACCUGCUGUAAAAAAGGUACUCAAAGCAAAGAAGGCCAAAGUAGCUGAAAAUGGGAACGACAAGGCUGAGGAGCCAAAGGCCGACGCCGCUGAAGCCAAAUGAAUAACCGUUGAUGUGCUCACUCUGUGUACUUGGUGAUUGUACAGUUUUAAAUUAGUAUUUUUUACCAAGUUUUAUAUUACAAAUGUCAUUUAUAUGUCUGUUUUGGGCUUGCACUUGUUGUAACAAAAGUUUGUUGUCACAUUCAUAUCCAUUUUAUAUCCAUUUAAAAAUUAUUGCCGUCCAUAUCUCGUAGACGUGGCAUUUUUAGUUUGUCUAAUCCUGUUUUUUUCUUUUUUUGUUCUGUUUUUUUUUUAAACUGCUGAGUAAUUGAUAUUUUUCCACCAAGUUGGAAUUUUAAUCUAAUUUUAAACAUUAUGAGGCAGCUAAAGCAUAUUGUUAAAAUUUGAGGGAAAAUAGGAAUUUUGCCUUUUAUCUCCUUGUAUUUUAAUGUUAAACUAAUAAGAAAUUGCUUACCAAAUGUUUCCAAACACUGUAUGUUGACACAAGUUCCAGUCAGUAAAAAAAAUACCACAAAAAAAAAAAAUACUGUUAUUAGGUCAAAAAAAGAUUGAUACAUCCCAAAAACAUGUAUGAUGUGAACCUCGUCAUCUGAUGAAAAGUCCUGCUAAGUUAUGUUUAUUUCCUGACUGAAGCUUUUCUGACUUUAAUGGUUGAUCUUAAUGUUCUUGAAUAAAAAUUGUCAAAAUGUC
Anoplopoma fimbria (sablefish) is the source of this 1043-nucleotide long non-coding RNA. RefSeq lists it as uncharacterized. The transcript is spliced from 6 exons. NCBI's taxonomy places the organism in Eukaryota, Metazoa, Chordata, Actinopteri, Perciformes, Anoplopomatidae. The record is from RefSeq and is a predicted model, not a curated record.